AGUUUGAUCCUGGCUCAGAAUGAACGUUGGCGGCGUGGAUUAGGCAUGCAAGUCGAACGAAUCCCCGCAAGGGGGGAAGUGGCGAAAGGGGCAGUAAGGCGUAGACAACCUGCCCCAGGCACUGGGAUAGCCUUCCUAACGGUUGGGUAAUACCAGAUUCGCUCCCGCAGAGGCAUCUCGGCGGGAGGAAAGCUACGGCGGCCUGGGAGGGGUUUACGUGAUAUUAGCUAGUUGGUGGGGUAACGGCUCACCAAGGCCAAGAUGUCUAGCAGGUGUGAGAGCACGACCUGCGCCACUGGCACUGGGACACUGGCCAGACUCCUACGGGAGGCUGCAGUCGAGAAUCUUCGGCAAUGAGCGCAAGCUUGACCGAGCGACGCCGCGUGAGCGAUGAAGGCCUUCGGGUUGUAAAGCUCUGUCGGGGGGGAGAAAAGGCAACUUGAUCGACCCCCGGAGGAAGCACGGGCUAAGUUCGUGCCAGCAGCCGCGGUAAGACGAACCGUGCGAACGUUGUUCGGAAUCACUGGGCUUAAAGGGUGCGUAGGCGGGUUGUCCAGUCUGGGGUGAAAUCCCACGGCUCAACCGUGGAAUUGCCUCAGAUACUGACGACCUCGAGGGAGGUAGGGGCGAGCGGAACUGUGGGUGGAGCGGUGAAAUGCGUUGAUAUCCACAGGAACUCCGGUGGCGAAGGCGGCUCGCUGGACCUCUUCUGACGCUGAGGCACGAAAGCUAGGGGAGCAAACGGGAUUAGAUACCCCGGUAGUCCUAGCCCUAAACGAUGAGGACUAGGUAGUAGGCUAGACAUGGGCUUACUGCCGAAGCAAAGUGCUAAGUCCUCCGCCUGGGGAGUAUGGCCGCAAGGCUGAAACUCAAGGAAUUGANGGGGGCUCACACAAGCGGUGGAGCAUGUGGCUUAAUUCGAGCUACGCGAAGAACCUUAUCCU
Molecule: ribosomal RNA, 944 nt
Filed under: uncultured bacterium
Lineage: Bacteria
Description: bacterial SSU rRNA
Rfam family: Bacterial small subunit ribosomal RNA
Source: RNAcentral